GUAGGGUACUGCGGAAGGAUCAUUG
This 25-nucleotide ribosomal RNA is filed under the name Coriandrum sativum (coriander). RNAcentral's name for it is "partial 18S ribosomal RNA". The record is from RNAcentral. Lineage: Eukaryota; Viridiplantae; Streptophyta; Magnoliopsida; Apiales; Apiaceae.